CUGGUGUGGAGGCUGUUUGUCUCUAGUUUUUUUAAUUAAAGUCUUGAGUGCAAAGAUCUGUUAUAGUCUUGAGGACCAAAACAGAAAACACCCUGGGAGAAGUAGCACUGUGAGAGGUAGAAGUUCAAGGUGCUAUUUUACUUUUUCUCACUGUGAAGAGACAAGCUAUUCUCACUGGAGCUCAGCCUUAAACUUUUGGGUUUUGCUGAUUUCCUUCUCUUCAGAAGAUGUACCCAGAAAAGUAGUUCCAGGAAAGCAAGAGGAGGGUGCUUUUCUGUGAAUACAGCAAGUCUGGUGCAGUUAAUGCAGCAUCAAGAAAGCUGACUACAGCUCACUUAGAUCCACUUUUUACUACAAGCCAGAUGUCAGAGCCAGCAGAAGUGCUGGUAUUUGCCUUCCAAAUGAAUGAGACAGCAGAAAUGUGGAGCACCAUCUUCAUCAAAGUGUGAAUUGAAGAAAUAUCUCAAAGAAAUUUCUCCCAGACUGCAUUCGCUACUCUAUGAAAUCUACAGAUGUGAAGAUGCUUUGAAGAGGUGGUAGCAUAGCUAUAGCUGCAACGAAAGAAUAAGCAAGGAUGUGAUUUUUUCUUCUUAAAAGAUCACAGUCUGUUAUCAUAGCUGAGCUUGUUAUCCACCACAAACGUUUAUCCAUGCAAAAAAAAUGGGUCUCUGAGCAAUGAAACCAGGUCUGUGAAUCUGUGAAUCUGCAAACAAGUUCAAGAAAGAAAUAAAGAUGAGAAUUUUCUGUUGGAAGUAUUGAGCGAUGACUUAUCACCUUCUUCAAAGCGAGAAUUUCUUUCC
This is a long non-coding RNA of Gallus gallus (chicken), 800 nucleotides long. NCBI's taxonomy places the organism in Eukaryota, Metazoa, Chordata, Aves, Galliformes, Phasianidae. The record is from Ensembl.